GCACUUUUGUCCGGAAAGAAAACCUUUGCACUAAUACUGUGAGGGGAUGACGGUACCGGAAGAAUAAGCACCGGCUAACUACGUGCCAGCAGCCGCGGUAAUACGUAGGGUGCGAGCGUUAAUCGGAAUUACUGGGCGUAAAGCGUGCGCAGGCGGUUCGUUAAGACAGAUGUGAAAUCCCCGGGCUUAACCUGGGAACUGCAUUUGUGACUGGCGAGCUAGAGUAUGGCAGAGGGGGGUAGAAUUCCACGUGUAGCAGUGAAAUGCGUAGAGAUGUGGAGGAAUACCGAUGGCGAAGGCAGCCCCCUGGGCCAAUACUGACGCUCAUGCACGAAAGCGUGGGGAGCAAACAGGAUUAGAUACCCUGGUAGUCCACGCCCUAAACGAUGUCAACUAGUUGUUGGGUCUUCAUUGACUUA
RNAcentral lists this ribosomal RNA (419 nucleotides) under uncultured beta proteobacterium. RNAcentral's name for it is "bacterial SSU rRNA". It matches the Rfam family "Bacterial small subunit ribosomal RNA", at positions 430 to 842 of the family's 1533-position model. The record is from RNAcentral. Lineage: Bacteria; Pseudomonadati; Pseudomonadota; Betaproteobacteria.